Molecule: ribosomal RNA, 392 nt
Filed under: uncultured bacterium
Lineage: Bacteria
Description: partial 16S ribosomal RNA
Rfam family: Bacterial small subunit ribosomal RNA
Source: RNAcentral
AUACGGAGGAUCCGAGCGUUAUCCGGAUUUAUUGGGUUUAAAGGGUGCGCAGGCGGCCAUUUAAGUCAGCGGUUAAAUCGUGGGGCUCAACCCCAUUCUGCCGUUGAUACUGGGUGGCUUGAUUGCGGUCGAGGUUGGCGGAAUUCGUUGUGUAGCGGGUAAAUGCAUAGAUAUGACGAAGAACACCGAUUGCGUAGGCAGCUGACCAGACCGCAAAUGACGCUCAUGCACGAAAGUGCGGGGAUCGAACAGGAUUAGAUACCCUGGUAGUCCGCACAGUAAACGAUGAAUACUUGUUUUCGGCGAUAUAAUGUCGGAGGCAAAGCGAAAGCGAUAAGUAUUCCACCUGGGGAGUACGCCGGCAACGGUGAAACUCAAAGGAAUUGACGGGG